GGGCCCGCACAAGCGGAGGAACAUGUGGUUUAAUUCGAUGAUACGCGAGGAACCUUACCCGGGUUUGAACGCAUUCGGACAGGGGCGGAAACGUCCUCUUCAGCAAUGACCGUUUGCGAGGUGCUGCAUGGUUGUCGUCAGCUCGUGCCGUGAGGUGUCGGCUUAAGUGCCAUAACGAGCGCAACCCCUAUUGCCAGUUGCCAUCGAGUAAAGUCGGGGACUUUGGCAAGACUGCCGGCGUAAGCUGCGAGGAAGGCGGGGAUGACGUCAAAUCAGCACGGCCCUUACAUCCGGGGCGACACACGUGUUACAAUGGCAGGGACAAAGGGCAGCCACCCGGCGACGGGGCGCUAAUCCCAAAACCCUGUCUCAGUUCGGAUCGGAGUCUGCAACUCGACUACAUGAAGCUGGAAUCGCUAGUAAUCGCAAAUCAGAAUGUUG
This 441-nucleotide ribosomal RNA is filed under the name uncultured Bacteroidota bacterium. RNAcentral describes it as "bacterial SSU rRNA". It matches the Rfam family "Bacterial small subunit ribosomal RNA", at positions 917 to 1359 of the family's 1533-position model. The record is from RNAcentral. Lineage: Bacteria; Pseudomonadati; Bacteroidota.